AGAAAUGUAAUUUAGUUGGAGAUGCAGCAUUGAAAGAGGCCCCUCAGCCCUCUGAGUCCACGUUGGUCAUCGAUCACCCGUUCACACUAGUUCCAUGUUAUCCCACUUUCAUAUCCUCUCCCUACACACUGGGGGCAAGUUUACAGAGGCCAACUAACCUUUACAUUGUGGCAGGAAGC
This is a long non-coding RNA of Amblyraja radiata (thorny skate), 179 nucleotides long. RefSeq lists it as uncharacterized. The record is from RefSeq and is a predicted model, not a curated record. The transcript has 3 exons. Lineage: Eukaryota; Metazoa; Chordata; Chondrichthyes; Rajiformes; Rajidae.